Molecule: ribosomal RNA, 1449 nt
Filed under: uncultured prokaryote
Description: partial 16S ribosomal RNA
Rfam family: Bacterial small subunit ribosomal RNA
Source: RNAcentral
GGCUCAGAUUGAACGCUGGCGGCAGGCUUAACACAUGCAAGUCGAGCGGUAACAGAGAGUAGCUUGCUACUUUGCUGACGAGCGGCGGACGGGUGAGUAAUGCUUGGGAAUAUGCCUUAUGGUGGGGGAUAACUUGGGAACUCAAGCUAAUACCGCAUAAUUCCUACGGGAGAAAGAGGGCCUAUACUUGUAAGCUCUUGCUAUUGGAUGAGCCUAUGUCGGAUUAGUUAGUUGGUGAGGUAAUGGCUUACCAAGACUACAAUCCGUAGCUGGUUUGAGAGGAUGAUCAGCCACACUGGGACUGAGACACGGCCCAGACUCCUACGGGAGGCAGCAGUGGGGAAUAUUGGACAAUGGGGGCAACCCUGAUCCAGCCAUGCCGCGUGUGUGAAGAAGGCCUUAGGGUUGUAAAGCACUUUCAGUAGGGAGGAAAAGUUAGUCGUUAAUAACGGCUAACCCUGACGUUACCUACAGAAGAAGCACCGGCAAACUCCGUGCCAGCAGCCGCGGUAAUACGGAGGGUGCGAGCGUUAAUCGGAAUUACUGGGCGUAAAGCGCGCGUAGGCGGCUAUUUAAGCUAGAUGUGAAAGCCCUGGGCUCAACCUGGGAACUGCAUUUAGAACUGAAUAGCUAGAGUAUGGUAGAGGAGUGUGGAAUUUCAGGUGUAGCGGUGAAAUGCGUAGAGAUCUGAAGGAACAUCAGUGGCGAAGGCGACACUCUGGACCAAUACUGACGCUGAGGUGCGAAAGCGUGGGUAGCAAACAGGAUUAGAUACCCUGGUAGUCCACGCCGUAAACGAUGUCUACUAGCCGUUGGGUUCCUUGAGGACUUAGUGGCGCAGCUAACGCAUUAAGUAGACCGCCUGGGGAGUACGGCCGCAAGGUUAAAACUCAAAUGAAUUGACGGGGGCCCGCACAAGCGGUGGAGCAUGUGGUUUAAUUCGAUGCAACGCGAAGAACCUUACCAGGUCUUGACAUCCAUAGAAUCCUUUAGAGAUGGAUUCGUGCCUUCGGGAAAGUAGUGACAGGUGCUUCAUGGCUGUCGUCAGCUCGUGUCGUGAGAUGUUGGGUUAAGUCCCGUAACGAGCGCAACCCUUGUCCUUAGUUGCCAUCAUUCAGUUGGGAACUCUAAGGAGACUGCCGGUGACAAACCGGAGGAAGGUGGGGACGACGUCAAGUCAUCAUGGCCCUUACGACCUGGGCUACACACGUGCUACAAUGGGCAGUACAGAGGGCCGCGAAGCCGCGAGGUGGAGCUAAUCUCAUAAAACUGUUCGUAGUCCGGAUUGAAGUCUGCAACUCGACUUCAUGAAGUCGGAAUCGCUAGUAAUCGCAAAUCAGAAUGUUGCGGUGAAUACGUUCCCGGGCCUUGUACACACCGCCCGUCACACCAUGGAAGUGGAUUGCACAAGAAGUGGCUAGUCUAACCGCAAGGGGGACGGUUACCACG